GUAUUUGUGGCCGAGUGGUUGAAGGCAACGGACUCAUAAUCCGUUUUCUUAUU
This 53-nucleotide transfer RNA is filed under the name Phaeophyceae sp. RNAcentral describes it as "tRNA-Met". It matches the Rfam family "tRNA", at positions 1 to 49 of the family's 71-position model. From Rfam's summary of the family: Transfer RNA (tRNA) molecules are approximately 80 nucleotides in length. Their secondary structure includes four short double-helical elements and three loops (D, anti-codon, and T loops). Further hydrogen bonds mediate the characteristic L-shaped molecular structure. tRNAs have two regions of fundamental functional importance: the anti-codon, which is responsible for specific mRNA codon recognition, and the 3' end, to which the tRNAs corresponding amino acid is attached (by aminoacyl-tRNA synthetases). tRNAs cope with the degeneracy of the genetic code in two manners: having more than one tRNA (with a specific anti-codon) for a particular amino acid; and 'wobble' base-pairing, i.e. permitting non-standard base-pairing at the 3rd anti-codon position. The record is from RNAcentral. Lineage: Eukaryota; Phaeophyceae.